Molecule: regulatory RNA element, 176 nt
Organism: Firmicutes bacterium CAG:114
Lineage: Bacteria; Bacillati; Bacillota
Rfam family: Lysine riboswitch aptamer
About the family: Riboswitches are metabolite binding domains within certain messenger RNAs that serve as precision sensors for their corresponding targets.
Source: Rfam
UAGCAUGAUAGAGGUGCGGGCGCGAAGAGUAUGCCUCCUGGAAACCCAGGCUGGUGGGAGGGAGAAAGGCGUGUCUGCCGAGGUUUUUCAGAGGGGGCCUGUCCUUCUGGGAAGCCGGGCUGUGGGAUAAGAUCCCUCAGACUGUCGCCCCAAGGGGGCGGAGGGCUGUCGUGGUU